This 892-nucleotide ribosomal RNA is filed under the name Halobacillus sp. C22. RNAcentral describes it as "bacterial SSU rRNA". It matches the Rfam family "Bacterial small subunit ribosomal RNA", at positions 29 to 883 of the family's 1533-position model. The record is from RNAcentral. Lineage: Bacteria; Bacillati; Bacillota; Bacilli; Caryophanales; Bacillaceae.
ACGAACGCUGGCGGUUGUGCCUAAUACAUGCAAGUCGAGCGCGGGAAGCGAGCGGAUCCCCUUCGGGGGUGACGAUCGUGGAACGAGCGGCGGACGGGUGAGUAACACGUGGGCAACCUGCCUGUAAGACCGGAAUAACCCCGGGAAACCGGGGCUAAUGCCGGGUAAUACCUUUCUUCGCAUGAAGGAAGGUUGAAAGAUGGCUUCUCGCUAUCACUUACAGAUGGGCCCGCGGCGCAUUAGCUAGUUGGUGAGGUAACGGCUCACCAAGGCGACGAUGCGUAGCCGACCUGAGAGGGUGAUCGGCCACACUGGGACUGAGACACGGCCCAGACUCCUACGGGAGGCAGCAGUAGGGAAUCUUCCGCAAUGGACGAAAGUCUGACGGAGCAACGCCGCGUGAACGAUGAAGGUCUUCGGAUCGUAAAGUUCUGUUGUUAGGGAAGAACAAGUACCGUGCGAACAGAGCGGUACCUUGACGGUACCUAACGAGGAAGCCCCGGCUAACUACGUGCCAGCAGCCGCGGUAAUACGUAGGGGGCAAGCGUUGUCCGGAAUUAUUGGGCGUAAAGCGCGCGCAGGCGGUUCCUUAAGUCUGAUGUGAAAGCCCACGGCUCAACCGUGGAGGGUCAUUGGAAACUGGGGAACUUGAGGACAGAAGAGGAGAGUGGAAUUCCACAUGUAGCGGUGAAAUGCGUAGAUAUGUGGAGGAACACCAGUGGCGAAGGCGACUCUCUGGUCUGUUUCUGACGCUGAGGUGCGAAAGCGUGGGUAGCAAACAGGAUCAGAUACCCUGGUAGUCCACGCCGUAAACGAUGAGUGCUAGGUGUUAGGGGGCUUCCACCCCUUAGUGCUGAAGUUAACGCAUUAAGCACUCCGCCUGGGGAGCUAC